RNAcentral lists this ribosomal RNA (440 nucleotides) under uncultured bacterium. RNAcentral describes it as "partial 16S ribosomal RNA". It matches the Rfam family "Bacterial small subunit ribosomal RNA", at positions 338 to 795 of the family's 1533-position model. The record is from RNAcentral.
CCUACGGGUGGCAGCAGUGGGGAAUAUUGCACAAUGGGGGAAACCCUGAUGCAGCGACGCCGCGUGAGUGAAGAAGGAGGUCGGUAGGUAAAGCUCUAUCAGCAGGGAAGAAAAGGACGGGACCGGAGGAAGAAGCCGCGGCGAACUACGUGCAAGCAGCCUCGGUAAUAAGUAGGGGGCAAGCGUUAUCCGGAUUGACUGGGUGUAAAGGGAGCGUAGACGGCAGCACAAGUCUGGAGUGAAAUGCCGGGGCUUAACCCCGGAACUGCUUUGGAAACUGUGCAGCUAGAGUGCAGGAGAGGUAAGUGGAAUGCCUAGUGUAGCGGUGAAAUGCGUAGAUAUUAGGAGGAACACCAGUGGCGAAGGCGGCUUACUGGCCUGUACCUGACGUUGAGGCUCGAACGCGUGGGGAGCAAACAGGAUUAGAUACCCGAGUAGUC